Molecule: ribosomal RNA, 497 nt
Filed under: uncultured bacterium
Lineage: Bacteria
Description: partial 16S ribosomal RNA
Rfam family: Bacterial small subunit ribosomal RNA
Source: RNAcentral
GAUGAACGCUGGCGGCGUGCCUAAUACAUGCAAGUCGAGCGAACGGACGAGAAGAUUGCUUCUCUGAUGUUAGCGGCGGACGGGUGAGUAACAAGUGGAUAACCUACCUAUACGACUGGGAUAACUUCGGGAAACCGGAGCUAAUACCGGAUAAUAUUUUGAACCGCAUGGUUCAAAAGUGAAAGACGGUCUUGCUGUCACUUAUAGAUGGAUCCGCGCUGCAUUAGCUAGUUGGUAAGGUAACGGCUUAACAACGCAACGAUGCAUAGCCGACCUGAGAGGGGGAGCGGCCACACUGGAACUGAGACACGGUCCAGACUCCUACGGUAGGCAGCAGUAGGGAAUCUUCCGCUAUGGGCGGAAGCCUGACGUGACAACGCCGCGUGAGUGAUGGAGGUCUUCGGAUCGUAAAACUCUGUUAUUAGGGAAGAACAUAUGUGUAAGUAACUGGGCACAUCUUGACGGUACCUAAUCAGAAAGCCACGGCUAACUACGUG